ACUCAAAUGAAUAGACGGGGGCCCGCACAAGCGGUGGAGCAUGUGGUUUAAUUCGAUGCAACGCGAAGAACCUUACCUACGUUUGACAUCGGGGGAAGCUUUCUGAGAGGGAAGCGUGCCGAAAGGAACCCUCAGACAGGUGCUGCAUGGCUGUCGUCAGCUCGUGUCGUGAGAUGUUGGGUUAAGUCCCAUAACGAGCGCAACCCCUAUGUUCAGUUGCCAGCACGUGAAGGUGGGCACUUUGAACAGACUGCCCGCGUUAAGCGGGAGGAAGGCGGGGAUGAUGUCAAGUCAUCAUGGCCUUUAUACGUAGGGCUACACACGUGCUACAAUGGUGCGCACAAUAGGAGGCGAAGCCGCGAGGUGGAGCGAAGCCUGAAAAGCGCAUCGUAGUCCGGAUUGAAGUCUGCAACUCGACUUCAUGAAGCUGGAAUCGCUAGUAAUCGCAAAUGAGCAUGUUGCGGUGAAUACGUUCUCGGGCCUUGUACACACCGCCCGU
Molecule: ribosomal RNA, 499 nt
Filed under: uncultured bacterium
Lineage: Bacteria
Description: partial 16S ribosomal RNA
Rfam family: Bacterial small subunit ribosomal RNA
Source: RNAcentral